RNAcentral lists this ribosomal RNA (489 nucleotides) under Clostridioides difficile. Its description in RNAcentral is "bacterial LSU rRNA". It matches the Rfam family "Bacterial large subunit ribosomal RNA", at positions 401 to 891 of the family's 2925-position model. The record is from RNAcentral. Lineage: Bacteria; Bacillati; Bacillota; Clostridia; Peptostreptococcales; Peptostreptococcaceae.
UAUGAUCCAGAGUACCACGGGACACGUGAAACCCUGUGGGAAGCAGGAGGGACCACCCUCCAAGGCUAAAUACUACCUAGUGACCGAUAGCGUAUAGUACCGUGAGGGAAAGGUGAAAAGAACCCCGGGAGGGGAGUGAAAUAGAACCUGAAACCCUGCACUUACAAGCUGUGGAAGCACAUGUCUUGGGUGACGGCGUACUUUUUGUAGAACGGGCAAACGAGUUACGUUAAGGAGCAAGGUUACGGACUUAAGGUGCGGAGCCGUAGCGAAAGCGAGUUUUAACUGAGCGUUCAGUUACUUGACGUAGACCCGAAACCGGGCGACCUAACCAUGAGCAGGAUGAAGCGAAAGUAAAAUUGCGUGGAGGUCCGAACCCACGAGCGUUGAAAAGCUCGGGGAUGACUUGUGGGUAGCGGUGAAAUUCCAAUCGAGCCCGGAGAUAGCUGGUUCUCCCCGAAAUAGCUUUAGGGCUAGCCUCAAGGUGAG